AGAGGUGGGUACAAUAUGUCCUGUGACAGGUAUGAUUUGUCCUGUCGUGGGUAUGAUUUGUCCUGUCGUGAAUACGAUUUGUCCUGUCGUGACUACGAUUUGUCCUGUCGUGAGUACGAUUUGUCCUGUCGUGGGUACGAUUUGUCCUGUCGUGGGUACGAUUUGUCCUGUCGUGGGUACGAUUUGUCCUGUCGUGGGUACGAUUUGUCCUGAGGUGGGUACGAUUUGUCCUGAGGUGGGUACGAUUUGUCCUGAGGUGGGUACGAUUUGUCCUGUGGUGGGUACGAUUUGUCCUGGGACAGGUACGAUUUGUCCUGGGACAGGUACGAUUUGUCCUUUUGUGGGUACGAUUUGUCCUAUUGUGGGUACGAUUUGUCCUGUGACAGGGAUUUGUCCUGAGGUGGGUAAAAUGUCAUGUGUCGAGUACGAUCAAUUCUGUUGUUGGUAAGAUUUGUCCUGUGGUGGGUAUAAUUGUCCUGUGACAGGUAUGAUUUGUCCUGUGACAGGUAUGAUUUGUCCUGUCGUGAGUAUGAUUUGUUCUGUUAUGAGUACGAUUUGUCCUGUCGUGGGUACGAUUUGUCCUGAGGUGGGUACGAUUUGUCCUGGGACAGGUACGAUUUGUCCUGGGACAGGUACGAUUUGUCCUGUUGUGGGUACGAUUUGUCCUGUUGUGGGUACGAUUUGUCCUGUUGUGGGUACGAUUUGUCCUGUUGUUGGUACGAUUUGUCCUGUUGUGGGUACGAUUUGUCCUGUGACAGGGAUUUGUCCUGAGGUGGGUUAAAUGUCAUGUGUCGAGUACGAUCAAUUCUGUUGUUGGUACGAUUUGUCCUGUGGUGGGUAUAAUUGUCCUUUGACAGGUAUGAUUUGUCCUGUUGUGGAUAUUAUUUGUCCUGAGGUGGGUAAAAUGUCAUGUAUCGGGUACCAUAAGUCCUUUUGUGGGUAUGAUUUGUCCUGUUGUGGAUACGGUUUGUCCUGUGGUGGGUAUAAUUGUCCUGUGACGGGUAUAAUUGUCCUGUGACAGGUAUGAUUUGUCCUGUUGUGGGUACGAUUAGUCCUGUUGUGGAUACGGUUUGUCCUGUGGUGGGUAUAAUUGUCCUGUGACAGGUAUGAUUUGUCUUGUGACAGGUAUGAUUUGUCCUGUUGUGGGUAUUAUUUGUCCUGUGGUGGGUAUAAUUGUCCUGUGACAGGUAUUAUUUGUCCUGUGGUGGGUAUGAUUUGUUUUGUGACUUCCAACCUACAAGGCAACGUUCCCCGUCCCUCUGAGGGGGAAUUUAUUUUUCUUAACCUUUACCAGCACCACUGGCUGGGUCCAACAGAACACGUGGAUCAUCCGUUGGCUUUCAAAGCUGGUUGGACUGUUUUCACACCUGCCAGCUGCAGGUUCUCGCCACUCGUUUCCUCCUGGAUCUUUUUCUUUCUCAACAGUUCAGUCAAAAAGAAAAAAAGAGGAGACGGACAGCUGCGGUGGAAGGAGGGCGAGGAUUGGUUUUCACCCACCAGGUUCACCGGGGAACAGCUGGGUGAGGCGGAGAGGGGGGCGAGGGAAGGUCUUGGCGAUCGCCCCUGGUUACCUAGAGGAGGGGCUACUGCACUCAGAGGCGGGGCAACAGAACUGAUGGGCGAUGUCAUCAUCUUCCUCCUCUCUGAGAGACAGACCAGGAAACAGGAGACACAGACAGAAGAGGACAGGGAGCGAGAGUGGAAGCAAAAGAUAAAGACGGCAGAGAAUCUGAGAAGUGUUGGCUUUAACCCUGCUGCUGCCCUCAGGUCAAAUAGCCCAGCAGGCCUCGGCCCUAAAGCCAGGGCAGCAGGGGGGUUAAAGUUAGAGCUGCAGUCCUGCAGUCCACCACCAGAGGUCAGUGCUUCCUCAUCACUAACUGACAGAGGUGAAGAAGCCUCUCAUCGCCAAAACAAAACUUUUACAGUCAGAGAACAAACUCACCUCUGACUGAAAGUUUCCACUGAGCGAGCAAAGACAGGAGGAGGAGGAGGAGGAUGAAGAGGUGAUGAUGAUGAUGAUGAUGAUGAUGAUGAUGAUGAUGAUGAUGAAGGGAAAGCCGAGCCAAUAAUACACAUUAAUGCAAAUUAAUACCCAAAAGUGCAAAUGAGUGCAAUAAUCUGUGCAGCUUUGGUUUUUAAACAGCUGUGAUCCAUCACUGGGACCCUGCUCAGCAGUUUCCUGCUCUCGUUUAAACUUUAAAACUUAAAAAAUAAAAAGCAGUCAACAGGCCGUCUGAAGAGAUCACAUCAUCUGAGACCAAUUUAGAGGUUUUAUCAGUGCUGAAAGUUAAAGCUCAGAACAAACAGUUAUAAAACACGCAGAUCUGCUGCAUCACCUGAGUUUUCAAAUCUUUUAUUUUGACAUCUAUUGGUUUAAACAGGAAGUUAAAUGAACUUCCUCCAGCUGUUUUAUUUAAUUUGAAAUGGUGGAACGUGUAUCACUGAUGGGUUACUGUUUUCUUAACAGAAUGAAAAAUCUUUAAAGCUUUUAAAAUGUUUGUCUUUAAUGUUCAGUGAUGCACAAGUUCUGUCGUUUAGUGUUGUAGAAGAGAAACUCUGUCCAUCGUCCACCUCUUAUCUCAGAGGCAACUAACGCUGCAGCUAAUGAUUAUUUUAGUAAUUGAUUAAUCUUUCAAUUAUUCUGUCGAUUAAUCAAGUWAUCUGAUUAAAACUAUUCUCAUCUUCUGCAGGCCUUACUUUAGCUUAUUUAAUGACAAAUACAAUUGUGAAGGGGUCAUCUAACCUAACCUGCACUUACUAACGAUCCUGCUGCAAUCAAAGUAAAAUUACAAUACCAGUUGUAUUUAAUUCAUGCAUUUUAAGCUGUUUGUAUUCAAGUGUGUGAGGUUUGAUGAGGCAUUAAUUAAAAGCUCUCUUUAUUGAAUCAUUUUUAACCAUCACUGAAAAAUAUAAAUUAUGGUAAUUCAUUUUUAUGGACUGGAAAACCAAAUUAGUAAGUAAAAUGUGUAAUAUAAAAAAUUGGGUUUUGCACAUUGAGUAUUGUAGAUUCCACGUUAUCAUUAAUAGUUAAAUUAAAUUCAUAUUUUUAUUACGACUGUUAUUAGCAGGGUUCCCAUUUUAGGCAAUCAAAUAUUUAGUCCUGACUGGUUAGUUAUGUAUGACAGCAGUAAUAAAUAAAGGCUAAUGACAGGUUUCAAAGUCAUAAAAAGCAGCAGCAAAAAAGAAAAAAA
This is a long non-coding RNA of Austrofundulus limnaeus, 3191 nucleotides long. RefSeq lists it as uncharacterized. The record is from RefSeq and is a predicted model, not a curated record. The transcript is spliced from 2 exons. NCBI's taxonomy places the organism in Eukaryota, Metazoa, Chordata, Actinopteri, Cyprinodontiformes, Rivulidae.